GAUUGUUCCUUAGAACCGCGGAAUUUUUGUGGCAAGAAGGGCACACCGCUCACGCCACAAAAGAUGAAGCCAUCGAAGAAACAGAA
RNAcentral lists this small RNA (86 nucleotides) under Epilithonimonas xixisoli. RNAcentral's name for it is "Chryseobacterium xixisoli Flavo-1 RNA". The record is from RNAcentral. Lineage: Bacteria; Pseudomonadati; Bacteroidota; Flavobacteriia; Flavobacteriales; Weeksellaceae.